GGGGGUGAUCGGUUUCGACAUUGGUCGGCAUAUCAGGGGAAGCGGGUCGAGGAUGCCUGGUUAUCUCGUAAACGCUCCCGGCAAACCAAUAGGUGCCAAUUCCAAGCGCACCGACUUCGCCCUCGCCGCCUGAGCGAGCCACGAAGUCCGUCAGCCUGAGCUAGUUCUCGACUCAGUGUCUGGCGUCAACUAGAGAACUUGCUGCGCAGUCAUGUCGGGGGACUGCGCGGGACUCUUACUCGACUGGGCCUGUCAGCGGACGUGUGCGCGCGAGCGCUGGGGCCGAGAAAAUCCACAGCGCACUGCACCCGGAGAAGCCCUGGUUUCCCGUCAAUGGACGCGGGUUCAAUUCCCGCCACCUCCACCA
Non-coding RNA from Phycicoccus sp. Root563, 367 nucleotides. It matches the Rfam family "transfer-messenger RNA". Rfam says of the family: Bacterial tmRNA, also known as 10Sa RNA or SsrA, is named for its dual tRNA and mRNA-like properties. Its role is to liberate the mRNA from a stalled ribosome. Lineage: Bacteria; Bacillati; Actinomycetota; Actinomycetes; Micrococcales; Intrasporangiaceae. The record is from Rfam.